Molecule: ribosomal RNA, 520 nt
Filed under: uncultured bacterium
Lineage: Bacteria
Description: bacterial SSU rRNA
Rfam family: Bacterial small subunit ribosomal RNA
Source: RNAcentral
UCAGGACGAACGCUGGCGGCGUGCCUAAUACAUGCAAGUCGAACGGUCUUUCUAUGGAAGCUUGCUUCCGCUGAGAAGAUAGUGGCGAACGGGUGAGUAACACGUGGGUAACCUGCCCAUAAGAGGGGGAUAACAUCCGGAAACGGGUGCUAAUACCGCAUAGUUUCUUGAUCGCAUGAUCGGGAAAGAAAAGACGGCCUUUGUGCUGUCGCUUAUGGAUGGACCCGCGGCGUAUUAGUUAGUUGGUGAGGUAACGGCUCACCAAGACGAUGAUACGUAGCCGACCUGAGAGGGUGAUCGGCCACAUUGGGACUGAGACACGGCCCAAACUCCUACGGGAGGCAGCAGUAGGGAAUCUUCCGCAAUGGACGAAAGUCUGACGGAGCAACGCCGCGUGAGUGAAGAAAGGUUUUCGGAUCGUAAAACUCUGUUGUCAGAGAAGAACAAGUUGGAGAGUAACUGCUCCAGCCUUGACGGUAUCUGACCAGAAAGCCACGGCUAACUACGUGCCAGCAGCCGC